RNAcentral lists this ribosomal RNA (497 nucleotides) under uncultured bacterium. RNAcentral describes it as "partial 16S ribosomal RNA". It matches the Rfam family "Bacterial small subunit ribosomal RNA", at positions 28 to 507 of the family's 1533-position model. The record is from RNAcentral.
GAUGAACGCUGGCGGCGUGCCUAAUACAUGCAAGUCGAGCGAACAGAUAAGGAGCUUGCUCCUUUGACGUUAGCGGCGGACGGGUGAGUAACACGUGGAUAACCUACCUAUAAGACUGGGAUAACUUCGGGAAACCGGAGCUAAUACCGGAUAACAUAUUGAACCGCAUGGUUCAAUAGUGAAAGGCGGCUUUGCUGUCACUUAUAGAUGGAUCCGCGCCGUAUUAGCUAGUUGGUAAGGUAACGGCUUACCAAGGCAACGAUACGUAGCCGACCUGAGAGGGUGAUCGGCCACACUGGAACUGAGACACGGUCCAGACUCCUACGGGAGGCAGCAGUGGGGAAUCUUCGGCAAUGGGCGAAAGCCUGACGGAGCAACGCCGCGUGAGUGAUGAAGGUCUUCGGAUCGUAAAACUCUGUUAUCAGGGAAGAACAAAUGUGUAAGUAACUGUGCACAUCUUGACGGUACCUGAUCAGAAAGCCACGGCUAACUACGUG